GACGAACGCUGGCGGCAUGCCUUACACAUGCAAGUCGAACGGCAGCACGGGGGCAACCCUGGUGGCGAGUGGCGAACGGGUGAGUAACACAUCGGAACGUGCCCAGUAGUGGGGGAUAGCUCGGCGAAAGCCGGAUUAAUACCGCAUACGACCUACGGGUGAAAGCGGGGGAGUCGCAAGACCUUGCGCUAUUGGAGCGGCCGAUGUCAGAUUAGGUUGUUGGUGGGGUAAAGGCCUACCAAGCCGACGAUCUGUAGCUGGUCUGAGAGGACGACCAGCCACACUGGGACUGAGACACGGCCCAGACUCCUACGGGAGGCAGCAGUGGGGAAUUUUGGACAAUGGGCGCAAGCCUGAUCCAGCCAUGCCGCGUGCGGGAAGACGGCCU
RNAcentral lists this ribosomal RNA (388 nucleotides) under uncultured bacterium. RNAcentral describes it as "bacterial SSU rRNA". It matches the Rfam family "Bacterial small subunit ribosomal RNA", at positions 28 to 417 of the family's 1533-position model. The record is from RNAcentral.